CAACAAACUAUUGAGUUUGAAUAAGAGAGGGAUUCAUAUAUGGAUCCCAGUUGUAGUUUGGUAUGUACUUUGACUAUAUACCCUUUUAAAUAAUUUAAUUUAUUAUAUAAUAACUAAUUUACACCUUGUUAUCACUGUAUGUAUGAAAAUAUUAUGAUUUGCAAGACAGAAGAAAGGUAAGUUUUUUGUUUGUUUAACCCCUCCCCCUGCCCUUCUUUUAUUUUCACUCAGUUAUGUGCCACUAUGUUUCGACAUAAAUAUCUCAUGCUACCAAUUAUUUUUUUCUAUAGUUUUGCAAUUCUGACGGAUGUGAAUGGUGCCAUGAUAACUGCUAGAUGAAACCAAGUGGUUGUUACAGCCAAAAUAUAAUAUGGAUAUAUUACUGUACAUCUCAUGAAAAUGGAUAGGAGCUUCUGGAUUAACAGAAAUGUAUUUCUAUUAAACAGUACAUCUAAUGCAAUGGGAUAUGGAAUCUGCCAUGUAUUAUUAAAUUACUGUACCUGUUUCCAAUCUACCAUAUGGAUGUCAGAACAUUGUAUGUCUACUAUGUCAAGAUAUUACAUACCUUUAUACAGUAUGUACGGUAACCUAACAAGUUAUUGGACAAUAUGAUGGCCAACAAUGGACACUAUGUACCUGUACAUGCUAAAUAAAUACGAAACAUCUGCAUAUUGGACAAAAAAACCAUCAAUGACACUGUCUUGUUUACCAAUUGGAAAAUACAGCAGACUAUUAUUACUUGGAAGAAUGUGAAAACUUGCAACAAACUAAUCAUAUCAUGUUAAAAGACAUAUAUGUUUGUUCUUCCUAAUUGUGUUGUUCUAGACGUUUUGACAAGUGAAGACAGUUUAAAACAUUGGUACCAACAAUAACAUGUGUAAAUAUGAAAAUCCGAAGUACAGUUUACAGUAUAUAAUAAUUACUGCACUAUUAAAUAAAAUAAAUUCAUACAUACAGUGUAUAUACUGUAUAAGG
Non-coding RNA from Paramuricea clavata, 975 nucleotides. Lineage: Eukaryota; Metazoa; Cnidaria; Anthozoa; Malacalcyonacea; Plexauridae. The record is from the annotation of a GenBank genome assembly.